RNAcentral lists this non-coding RNA (29 nucleotides) under Mus musculus (house mouse). The record is from RNAcentral. Lineage: Eukaryota; Metazoa; Chordata; Mammalia; Rodentia; Muridae.
UCCUUUUCCAGGUUCCAGGUCACAGGCUC